RNAcentral lists this ribosomal RNA (677 nucleotides) under uncultured marine group I thaumarchaeote. RNAcentral's name for it is "bacterial SSU rRNA". It matches the Rfam family "Archaeal small subunit ribosomal RNA", at positions 321 to 999 of the family's 1478-position model. Lineage: Archaea; Thermoproteati; Nitrososphaerota. The record is from RNAcentral.
CCCUAUGGGGUGCAGCAGGCGAGAAAACUUUGCAAUGUGCGAAAGCACGACAAGGUUAAUCCGAGUGAUUUCUGCUAAAGGAAUCUUAUGUUAGUCAUAAAACCACUAUUGAAUAAGGGGUGGGCAAGUUCUGGUGUCAGCCGCCGCGGUAAAACCAGCACCUCAAGUGGUCAGGAGGAUUAUUGGGCCUAAAGCAUCCGUAGCCUGUUCUGUUAGUUUUCGGUUAAAUCUAUGCGCUCAACGCAUAGGCUGCCAAAAAUACUGCAGAGCUAGGGAGUGGGAGAGGUAGACGGUACUCGGUAGGAAGGGGUAAAAUCUUUUGAUCUAUCGAUGACCACCUGUGGCGAAGGCGGUCUGCCAGAACACGUUCGACGGUGAGGGAUGAAAGCUGGGGGAGCAAACCGGAUUAGAUACCCGGGUAGUCCCAGCUGUAAACGAUGCAGACUCGAUGAUGCAUUAGCAUAUAGCUAGUGCAGUGUCGCAGGGAAGCCGUUAAGUCUGCCGCCUGGGAAGUACGUACGCAAGUAUGAAACUUAAAGGAAUUGGCGGGGGAGCACCACAAGGGGUGAAGCCUGCGGUUCAAUUGGAGUCAACGCCAGAAAUCUUACCCGGAGAGACAGCAGAAUGAAGGUCAGGCUGAAGACCUUACCAGACAGGCUGAGAGGUAGUGCAUGGCC